This 367-nucleotide unclassified non-coding RNA is filed under the name Hevea brasiliensis (rubber tree). The record is from RNAcentral. Lineage: Eukaryota; Viridiplantae; Streptophyta; Magnoliopsida; Malpighiales; Euphorbiaceae.
GACUUUGAAUGUGCUUUUAUGGUCUCCUUGUGCUCCAUUCGUGAAAUAAUGCGUCUUUUGGAGCCUUGCUUAGCUUCUUCAAGCACAUUUUUCUUGUUUAGAGUGUGAUCCAUUUUAAAAUGCUUAUAAUUGUUUUAUAUGCCUUUUCAUAGUCGUUGGAGAUUUUGAGACAUAUCCUGUACAAGAAAGGAUUGUUCAUUACUGGUCACAUAGUUGCAUUGUAUUAAAUUCUUGCAUUUUGGCAGAGUUUUCCCUUGGACUGAGGUGUCGAGAAGAUAGGAGAAUCUAAAUAUUGCAGUUAAUUGAAAAUUGGGUUCAAAUUUGCUUAAAACAGACUGUUGACUAUAGUAAAUGCAUGGAUCGAAGG